UGGGGAAUAUUGCACAAUGGGCGCAAGCCUGAUGCAGCCACGCCGCGUGUGUGAAGAAGGCCUUCGGGUUGUAAAGCACUUUCAGCGAGGAGGAAGGUGGUGGACUUAAUACGUUCAUCAAUUGACGUUACUCGCAGAAGAAGCACCGGCUAACUCCGUGCCAGCAGCCGCGGUAAUACGGAGGGUGCAAGCGUUAAUCGGAAUUACUGGGCGUAAAGCGCACGCAGGCGGUUUGUUAAGUCAGAUGUGAAAUCCCCGGGCUCAACCUGGGAACUGCAUUUGAAACUGGCAAGCUAGAGUCUCGUAGAGGGGGGUAGAAUUCCAGGUGUAGCGGUGAAAUGCGUAGAGAUCUGGAGGAAUACCGGUGGCGAAGGCGGCCCCCUGGACGAAGACUGACGCUCAGGUGCGAAAGGCGUGGGGCAGCAAACAGGAUUAGAUACCCUGGUAGUCCACGCUGUAAACGAUGUCGAUUUUGGAGGUUGUGCCCCUUGAGGCGUGGCUUCCGGAGCUAACGCGUUAAAGUCGACCGCCU
Molecule: ribosomal RNA, 532 nt
Filed under: uncultured bacterium
Lineage: Bacteria
Description: partial 16S ribosomal RNA
Rfam family: Bacterial small subunit ribosomal RNA
Source: RNAcentral